UUUAUACCUAUUCGAAGGGAUAGGGUCGGUUGGCCGGAUUUCACACAGGUGUUGCAUGGCUGUCGUCAGCUCGUGUCGUGAGAUGUUGGGAAGUCCCGCAACGAGCGCAACCCUCAUCCUUAGUUACCAUCAGGUUAUGCUGGGGACUUUAGGAAACUGCCAGUGAUAAACUGGAGGAAGGUGGGGAUGAUGUCAAGUCAUCAUGGCCCUUUGGAGUGGGCUACACACGUGCUACAAUGGUGAUUACAAUGGGCCGCAAGGUCGCAAGGCUAGCUAAUCCUAAAAAAUCAUCUCAGUUCGGAUUGUUCUCUGCAACUCGAGAGCAUGAAGUGGAAUCGCUAGUAAUCGUGGAUCAGCAUGCCACGGUGAAUACGUUCUCGGGUCUUGUACAACUGCCCGUC
RNAcentral lists this ribosomal RNA (401 nucleotides) under Wolbachia sp. Its description in RNAcentral is "bacterial SSU rRNA". It matches the Rfam family "Bacterial small subunit ribosomal RNA", at positions 992 to 1398 of the family's 1533-position model. Lineage: Bacteria; Pseudomonadati; Pseudomonadota; Alphaproteobacteria; Rickettsiales; Anaplasmataceae. The record is from RNAcentral.